Molecule: RNA transcript, 2999 nt
Organism: Prunus mume (Japanese apricot)
Lineage: Eukaryota; Viridiplantae; Streptophyta; Magnoliopsida; Rosales; Rosaceae
Source: RefSeq, a predicted model, not a curated record
UGCAACAAAAACGGUUUAAUUUGUGUGUUAAAUGGCGACGGAGGAGCUCCUCCUCAACGCUCUCUCUCUUCCAAAGAUCUCAUGCUAUUCUUCGUAGCCUCUCUUCCUCAGUUAUUUGGAUAUCUGGAUUUGGGUAUUUGAGUUUUUUCCUUUUUUCCCACUGUGUAAUGGUAGUUGUGGAGGUUGAGGUGAAGGAGAAGAAGAAGGAGAAGGAGAAGGAGAAGAGGAGAGGUAGUGGUAUUGGUAUUGGUGGGUUUUGGUUUUGGUGGACUGUGACAUUGGUAUGCCUUGUGGAGGUGGAGAGGAUAAGCAAUGGGGUUGUGGGAAAUGUGGUGCCGCUGUUAAUUUGCAAAGAGUUGGUUCAAUUGUCCGUGACAUUGGCGACCCAUGCCUCUCGCAGUCGCCUAUAAAGGUGGUUAUGGCUGUGAACAAAAUGCUUAAACCGGAGAAGUGGCAGGCAACAUUUGAUAGCGAUGGGAAGAAUUUUUGUUUUCAGAAGGCACUCAAAUUAAUAGUAUUGGGGGGCGUUGAUCAAUCUAUAAGGCCAGAAGUGUGGGAAUUUUUACUUGGUUGUUAUGCUCUGGGUAGUACUGCGGAGUCUCGAAGGCAGUUGCGGACAGCCCGGAGGGAACGUUACAGGGACCUGAUUAAGCAGUGCCAAAUGAUGCAUUCAAGCAUUGGAACUGGUUCACUUGCUUAUGUUGUUGGGUCCAAGGUUAUGGAUGUUAGGGCACCGUCUAAAGAUGACGAAGGGGGGGAAGCUAAAGUUGAACAUAGACAAACUUCUUUUGAUAAUACUAACAAAGUAGAGAACUAUUGUGAUAGGAAUAAUAAUUGUACAGAUACAUCAUAUGCAUGCCAACAAGAGAGUUCUAGUGAGUCGGCCGACCUUGUCAGUGUGAGGGAAAGCACAGAUAGUGCAGCAUAUGAUUCUUCUUGUUUCAUACAUACUUCUAGUCCACAUGACUGCAGCUCCCCAAAGCUAGGGAGAGAAGCAGAUGGAACAAAAUAUGUACCAAAAAGUUAUUUUGAAUAUCCUACUUUAUCGGUCGCUGAUUUGUUUGAAAAGUGUGAAGAAGAUGAUGAAGGUCGCGUGUCUGAUGAUAAACUUUCUGCGCCAUGUAAGUCAAGGUUGAAAAAGGACAGCAUGCACAGUUUUCAAGUCAAUAACAAUGUAGAUUUAGUUAUUGAAUCAAAUUGCUCACCAUCCAAGAAUGUUUCACGCACCAUUAACUCUGAAAUUGAAAUGGUUCGUACUGAUGCCCAUCAUUCAGUAUUGCAGUCCAAUAAUAUGGGUAAUAAGAAAGAAAUAGUAAACAGGAUGAGAAUAUCAGAUGUACCAGAUACAGAAUUUAGAAAUACAACAAUGUCUCAAGGAGGGACCGUGAGUGAAGACAGAGUAUCUGAAUGGCUUUGGACUCUCCACCGAAUAGUUGUUGAUGUGGUAAGAACAGACAGUCAUCUUGAAUUCUAUGAGGAUGCAAAAAAUUUAGCUAGGAUGUCAGAUAUUCUUGCUGUUUAUGCGUGGGUUGAUCCAGCAACCGGAUAUUGUCAAGGUAUGAGUGACUUGCUGUCUCCAUUUGUCGUCCUGUUUGAGGAUAAUGCUGAUGCGUUUUGGUGCUUUGAAAUGCUUCUAAGGAGAAUGCGGGAAAAUUUUCAGAUGGAAGGACCAACUGGGGUAAUGAAGCAGUUGCAAGCAUUGUGGAAUAUCUUGGAACUCACAGACAGGGAAAUGUUUGCACACCUGUCACACAUAGGUGCUGAAAGCCUUCAUUUUGCAUUUCGGAUGCUGCUGGUACUCUUCCGUCGGGAGUUAUCGUUUGAUGAUGCUCUUUGUAUGUGGGAGAUGAUGUGGGCUGCUGAUUUUCAAGAAUCCUUGGCUUACAAUUUAGAGGACAGCUGUCUAGAAGCCUUGGUGGUACAGCUUCCUAGGGAUUUGGAAGCAGAAAUGAGGGGUGAAAGUGUGGAGGGUGGUGGUGAUAUGAAGGGCGGCUCACAUUCAAAUCAUGGAAAUCCAGAACACUCCAUGUCUGACACUGGAAUGAAAUCAGCAUCAACAUAUCAUUUUUGUGGGUUGACAAGGAAUUUUUGGUCAAAGAAUGAUCGCAUGCACAUCUGCACUGCAGUCUCAUCAACUAGGAAUGGGGAUGAUGAGCUACCGGUCUUCUGCGUUGCCGCAAUCCUCAUCAUGAACCGCCAGAAAAUUAUUCGUCAGACGCGCUCAAUUGAUGAUAUGAUAAAGAUUUUCAAUGAUAAUUUGCUGAAAAUCAGUGUCAAAAGAUGCAUCCGCACAGCGGUCAAGCUUCGGAAGAAAUAUUUCUACAAGGUGGACAGGUUGGCUUAUUGGUCCUCCCAGUUAUGCUCAUUGGGUGCUUGGCGGGCAAAAAAAGGCCCAUGACUCAGGCCAAAGCCUGGUUGGGUCAUCUGAUGGAACUGAAACACAGGCGGCCACUAACAGAAAUGGACAGAAACGACCAUUUUGUUGCAUGAAACCGUGCAUAUUGCUUUGUGGAUGCUCUUUUUGAAACUUAACUUCUGCUUGAACCAGCUUAUCAAGAAAAACAGCCCUUCAGCCCGGAAUGGUGACUAGGAUCUUUUCAUUCCCAGAUAGCACGGUGAUGACACUGAUCUGAUUACACUCACAAGUUCAAGCUGAAGCGCCAUUGCUGUUUGUAGAUUGGUCCAGUUAUUUGCACUUAUGUUGUCUCCUUCAAAUUUUUUGCAAGUCAGCAGAGAGAUUCUAAAGAGGGAAGAAGUGUGUCUGUUUUCGUGCAUGGAGGUCUGACUGCUUAGCGGAUACCUGUUACAGGUUUGACGAACAUGACUAUUUCUCAAUCUUGUAAUCUUCAUUAACAUCAUAUUUUGAAGGGCAAACUUGGUGCUGAGAGUUCUGAUAUCUUGUGGACUUGAGAAUGUGAUUACUUUGAGGGAGAGAUUUAUUGACAGUUAUACAAAAAUAUCAUAUGCUGAGAGUCAACCUAAGAAACUUUGUUUGAUAA